RNAcentral lists this non-coding RNA (45 nucleotides) under Schistosoma curassoni. Lineage: Eukaryota; Metazoa; Platyhelminthes; Trematoda; Strigeidida; Schistosomatidae. The record is from RNAcentral.
AUCCAGUUGAUGAGUCCCAAAUAGGACGAAACGUGCAUUCUAGAU